RNAcentral lists this RNase P RNA (346 nucleotides) under Lachesis muta (bushmaster). RNAcentral describes it as "Nuclear RNase P". It matches the Rfam family "Nuclear RNase P". From Rfam's summary of the family: Ribonuclease P (RNase P) is a ubiquitous endoribonuclease, found in archaea, bacteria and eukarya as well as chloroplasts and mitochondria. Its best characterised activity is the generation of mature 5'-ends of tRNAs by cleaving the 5'-leader elements of precursor-tRNAs. The record is from Rfam by way of RNAcentral. Lineage: Eukaryota; Metazoa; Chordata; Lepidosauria; Squamata; Viperidae.
GGAAGGAAGCUCACUGUAGAGGCCACUAGCUUGGGUGUCUAUCACCCUACUUCCGCCUGUGGGAAGGUCUGAGGGAAGGGCCAAAUUGCCGCCCUAGCAGGGUGCCACCUUCUGAAGGUGGAGUGAGUUCCCACCAAUGUGGGUCUCCGAUGAAGCCCUAGAAUUGAGGCAGGAGAAGCGGAGAGGGGUCGUGGGUCGUGGGUCGUAGGCAUCCUCCCCGCGGAUGCCUCUGUGGCUCCGUUCGGGAUUUGAGAAUGACUUACGGCUGACAGCUUUGAGUACAAUGGGAAGAGGUGAAGCACCGCCAGCUUCAUAUAACCCAAUUCAGACCACUCUCCGGAAUUCC